GUGGUGUGGAUGUUUAUUGGGCCUAAAGCAUCCGUAGCUGGCUGAACAAGUCCCCUGUUAAACCCACCGAUUUAAUCGUUGGUCUGCGGGGGAUACUGCUCGGCUAGGGGACGAGAGAGGCAGACGGUAUUCCCGGGGUAGGGGUGAAAUCCUAUAAUCCCGGGAAGACCACCAGUGGCGAAGGCUGUCGGCUAGA
RNAcentral lists this ribosomal RNA (196 nucleotides) under uncultured crenarchaeote. RNAcentral's name for it is "partial 16S ribosomal RNA". It matches the Rfam family "Archaeal small subunit ribosomal RNA", at positions 488 to 684 of the family's 1478-position model. The record is from RNAcentral. Lineage: Archaea; Thermoproteati; Thermoproteota.